GACGAACGCUGGCGGCGUGCUUAACACAUGCAAGUCGAACGGUGAAGGGAUCAGCUUGCUGGUUCUGGAUGAGUGGCGAACGGGUGAGUAACACGUGAGUAACCUGCCCCCUUCUUCUGGAUAACCGCAUGAAAGUGUGGCUAAUACGGGAUAUUCUGCGCCUGCUGCAUGGUGGGUGUGGGAAAGAUGUUGUUUCGGUGGGGGAUGGGGUCGCUGCCUAUCAGCUUGUGGGUGGGGGGAUGGCCUGCCAAGGCGGUGACGGGUAGCCGGCCUGUGAGGGGGGCCGGUAAGACGGGGACCGGGCCCCGGCCCAGACUGCUACGGGAGGCAGCAGUGGGGAAUACUGCACAAUGGGAGCAAGCCUGAUGCAGCGACGCCGCGUGAGGGAGGGAGGCCUUCGGGUUGUGAACCUCUUUCGCCAGUGAAGCAGGCCUGUCCCUUGUGGGUGGGUUGACGGUAGCUGGAUAAGAAGCGCCGGCUAACUACGUG
This 489-nucleotide ribosomal RNA is filed under the name uncultured bacterium. Its description in RNAcentral is "partial 16S ribosomal RNA". It matches the Rfam family "Bacterial small subunit ribosomal RNA", at positions 28 to 507 of the family's 1533-position model. The record is from RNAcentral.